UCACCUCUCAAGCCUGGCUUGGUGUUGGACGUCCGGUGGUGUUAGGUCACCACCCGUCCCAAAGACAAUGACGGCGUCCAGAGGACCCUCGGUACAUCGAGCUUUAACCAGCACGUACUCGAGUUUAAGGGACUCUGGGCCCGGUCACCUUUAUUUACUUUUACAA
This 166-nucleotide unclassified non-coding RNA is filed under the name uncultured fungus. RNAcentral describes it as "sequence contains ITS2". The record is from RNAcentral. Lineage: Eukaryota; Fungi.